This 477-nucleotide ribosomal RNA is filed under the name uncultured bacterium. RNAcentral describes it as "partial 16S ribosomal RNA". It matches the Rfam family "Bacterial small subunit ribosomal RNA", at positions 28 to 507 of the family's 1533-position model. The record is from RNAcentral.
GAUGAACGCUAGCGGCGGGCCUAAUACAUGCAAGUCUAACGGGAAAGGUGGCAACACCUUGAGAGUGGCGUACGGGUGCGUAACGCGUAUACAACCUGCCUGUUACACGGGGAUAGCCUUGCGAAAGCGAGAUUAAUACCCGAUGGUACUAUUGAGCGGCAUCGCUUGGUAGUUAAAGCUGAGGCGGUAACAGAGGGGUAUGCGUCCCAUUAGCUAGUUGGUAGUGUAACGGACUACCAAGGCGACGAUGGGUAGGGGUUCUGAGAGGAUGAUCCCCCACACUGGUACUGAGAUACGGACCAGACUCCUACGGGAGGCAGCAGUAGGGAAUAUUGGGCAAUGGACGGAAGUCUGACCCAGCCACGCCGCGUGCAGGAAGAAGGUCCUCUGGAUUGUAAACUGCUUUUCUUGGGGAAGAAAACCCUUCUGCGGUAGGAAUUGACGGUACUCAAGGAAUAAGCAUCGGCUAACUCCUUG